Molecule: ribosomal RNA, 422 nt
Filed under: uncultured bacterium
Lineage: Bacteria
Description: partial 16S ribosomal RNA
Rfam family: Bacterial small subunit ribosomal RNA
Source: RNAcentral
GAAUAUUGGACAAUGGGGGCAACCCUGAUCCAGCCAUGCCGCGUGUGUUAAGAAGGCCUUUUGUUUGUAAAGCACUCUAAGCAGUGAAGAAGACGCCAUGGUUAAUACCCAUGGACGAUGCCAUUAGCUGCAGAAUAAGCACCGGCUAUCUCCGUGCCAGCUGCCGCGGUAAUCCAGAGGGUGCAAGCGUUAAUCGGAAUUACUGGGCGUAAAGCGAGCGUAGGUGGCUUGAUAAGUCAGAUGUGAAAUCCCCGGGCUUAACCUGGGAACUGCAUCUGAUACUGUUAGGCUAGAAUAGGUGAGAGGAAGGUAGAAUUCCAGGUGUAGCGGUGAAAUGCGUAGAGAUCUGGAGGAAUACCGAUGGCGAAGGCAGCCUUCUGGCAUCAUAUUGACACUGAGGUUCGAAAGCGUGGGUAGCAAAC